GUGCCAGCAGCCGCGGUAAUACCGGCAGCCCAAGUGAUGGCCGAUCUUAUUGGGCCUAAAGCGUCCGUAGCUGGCUGCGCAAGUCCGUCGGGAAAUUCACUCGCCCAACGAGUGGGCGUCCGACGGAAACUGCACAACUUGGGACCGGAAGGCUCGAAGGGUACGUUCGGGGUAGGAGUGAAAUCCUAUAAUCCCGCACGGACCACCGAUGGCGAAAGCACUUCGAGAAAACGGAUCCGACAGUGAGGCACGAAAGCAUGGGUAGCAAACAGGAUUAGAUACCCUGGUAGUCC
RNAcentral lists this ribosomal RNA (293 nucleotides) under uncultured bacterium. RNAcentral describes it as "partial 16S ribosomal RNA". It matches the Rfam family "Archaeal small subunit ribosomal RNA", at positions 455 to 747 of the family's 1478-position model. The record is from RNAcentral.